GAUCAUGGCUCAGGAUGAACGCUAGCUACAGGCUUAAAACAUGCAAGUCGAGGGGCGAGCAUGAAAGGAAACUUCGGUUUCUUUUUGUAUGGCGACCGGCGCACGGGUGCGUAACGCGUAUCGAACCUGCCUCAUACUCGGGGAUAGCCUUGCGAAAGUAAGAUUAAUACCCGGCGGUCUCGGAUGGCCGCAUGACUAUCCGAGUGAAGAUUUAUCGGUAUGAGAUGGCGAUGCGU
RNAcentral lists this ribosomal RNA (236 nucleotides) under uncultured bacterium. RNAcentral's name for it is "partial 16S ribosomal RNA". It matches the Rfam family "Bacterial small subunit ribosomal RNA", at positions 15 to 236 of the family's 1533-position model. The record is from RNAcentral.